UCCAGUCUGUCAAGAUCUUUUGGGAUCCUGACUGUCAUCAAGCGUGCUACCUCUCCCUUCCAGCUUUGUGUGAUCUCCAGAUUUGAUGUCCCUGCAAAUGGCUCAUCAAUCAUACUCUCCUGUCAUUUUAGCACCUAAGGAUGCACUUAUUAAGGACCAAGUGAUUUGAACUCAUCACAGACAACUAGGUGGUCUGUUAAGAUCUCCUUACUUAGGAGGACCCUGCAAGCUUCAAAUGGUCUGGAGAAUGGUGAACUUCCUGUUGGUGUCCUAGGAACAUCUUUGGACCAGCUGAUGACAUUGUUUGCACUGGGAGCAAAAGACACACUGAACAUAGAAUCAUUUUAAGGCUCCACAAGUUGCCUAGUAAAGAAGUGACAUCAUGCCUAAGAGGAACUUCUUGAGCACCUCCAUGAAUGGGAGAAUGAUUUCCAGCAUCAGGAGCUAGGAGUUACCCCUUUGCCACAGGUACUCUCUGAGCCUGGGCCACUUUCCCCUGGACUCUAUAUGUACAUAUGUGAGGGCAUGUCACAGACUUCUGGCGGGGGAUGUUUUGUACCAACUGUUGUUAAACUGGAUGAUCUUGGUAAAUGUUCCUCUCUAAAAGGUACUUAAAGCUGGCUGACUAGACUGAUUCAGCCGAUAAUCUUGAGGGAAAAUACGCCAGUGGGGGCUAAAAGUGACAGCAUUAAAAUAUCACCCCUGACUCCUCAGGGUCAACCUAUAACCUUUAGAGAAAUAUAUAGCCUUCCUCCAGAACCUAAGUCCCAUCUGUGAGAGUGGGAGCUGAGAUAAGGAUUCUCAGAACUUAUGCAGACUAUCCUUUGAUCUUCAUUUUCUUCUCAAUGUUGCUAAAAACAAAAAUAAACCCCUUUUCUUUGUGGUCCUUAGCUUUCCUCACUAGCCUCAGCUAUUUCUUAGCUUUACUACUCCUAACAUUCGCUUUUUUCUUGGUAGGACCAUGACAUAUCUUGGAGCAGGUAGGUGGUGUAGUAGAUAGAGUGGAUAGCUUGGAGUCAGGAUGAGUCAUUUUCCGG
This is a long non-coding RNA of Phascolarctos cinereus (koala), 1037 nucleotides long. RefSeq lists it as uncharacterized. Lineage: Eukaryota; Metazoa; Chordata; Mammalia; Diprotodontia; Phascolarctidae. The record is from RefSeq and is a predicted model, not a curated record.